RNAcentral lists this ribosomal RNA (1330 nucleotides) under Corynebacterium sp. Its description in RNAcentral is "bacterial SSU rRNA". It matches the Rfam family "Bacterial small subunit ribosomal RNA". Lineage: Bacteria; Bacillati; Actinomycetota; Actinomycetes; Mycobacteriales; Corynebacteriaceae. The record is from RNAcentral.
UUUGUGGAGAGUUUGAUCCUGGCUCAGGACGAACGCUGGCGGCGUGCUUAACACAUGCAAGUCGAACGGAAAGGCCCUGCUUGCAGGGUACUCGAGUGGCGAACGGGUGAGUAACACGUGGGUGAUCUGCCCUGCACUUCGGGAUAAGCCUGGGAAACUGGGUCUAAUACCGGAUAGGAGCCAUUUUUAGUGUGAUGGUUGGAAAGUUUUUUCGGUGUAGGAUGAGCUCGCGGCCUAUCAGCUUGUUGGUGGGGUAAUGGCCUACCAAGGCGGCGACGGGUAGCCGGCCUGAGAGGGUGGACGGCCACAUUGGGACUGAGAUACGGCCCAGACUCCUACGGGAGGCAGCAGUGGGGAAUAUUGCACAAUGGGCGCAAGCCUGAUGCAGCGACGCCGCGUGGGGGAUGACGGCCUUCGGGUUGUAAACUCCUUUCGCUAGGGACGAAGCUUUUUGUGACGGUACCUAGAUAAGAAGCACCGGCUAACUACGUGCCAGCAGCCGCGGUAAUACGUAGGGUGCGAGCGUUGUCCGGAAUUACUGGGCGUAAAGGGCUCGUAGGUGGUUUGUCGCGUCGUCUGUGAAAUUCCGGGGCUUAACUCCGGGCGUGCAGGCGAUACGGGCAUAACUUGAGUACUGUAGGGGUAACUGGAAUUCCUGGUGUAGCGGUGAAAUGCGCAGAUAUCAGGAGAAGGCUAAAACUCAAAGGAAUUGACGGGGGCCCGCACAAGCGGCGGAGCAUGUGGAUUAAUUCGAUGCAACGCGAAGAACCUUACCUGGGCUUGACAUACACCGGAUCGGGCUAGAGAUAGUCUUUCCCUUUGUGGCUGGUGUACAGGUGGUGCAUGGUUGUCGUCAGCUCGUGUCGUGAGAUGUUGGGUUAAGUCCCGCAACGAGCGCAACCCUUGUCUUAUGUUGCCAGCAUUUGGUUGGGGACUCAUGAGAGACUGCCGGGGUCAACUCGGAGGAAGGUGGGGAUGACGUCAAAUCAUCAUGCCCCUUAUGUCCAGGGCUUCACACAUGCUACAAUGGUCGGUACAACGCGCAGCGACACUGUGAGGUGGAGCGAAUCGCUGAAAGCCGGCCUUAGUUCGGAUUGGGGUCUGCAACUCGACCCCAUGAAGUCGGAGUCGCUAGUAAUCGCAGAUCAGCAACGCUGCGGUGAAUACGUUCCCGGGCCUUGUACACACCGCCCGUCACGUCAUGAAAGUUGGUAACACCCGAAGCCGGUGGCCCAAACUUGUUAGGGAGCCGUCGAAGGUGGGAUCGGCGAUUGGGACGAAGUCGUAACAAGGUACCCGUACCGGAAGGUGCGGGUGGAUCACCUCCUUU